Helianthus annuus (common sunflower) is the source of this 2621-nucleotide RNA transcript. It is a transcript of the gene named proline-rich extensin-like protein EPR1, with no coding region annotated. Lineage: Eukaryota; Viridiplantae; Streptophyta; Magnoliopsida; Asterales; Asteraceae. The record is from RefSeq and is a predicted model, not a curated record. The transcript is spliced from 12 exons.
UGCAUACAGACCGAUCAUUUUUUCUUCUAGAGCUCAUUCUCUCUUCCUCUUCCAAAUCUGUGGCUCUCAGGCCGUCACAGUUCUGAACCCUAAUACCCAAAUCCAGUUUCCUCUCAUCUAUACGACAUCCUCCAUCUCCAAACACCACCUCCACUUCGCCGGUCACCCACCCUCAUCAAGCAUCGGUCGUCGCCACCACUCACACGACCCAUCUCCGUCGCCGGUCACCCACCACCGUACUCCUUCUCCACCCUGAACCCCAAUCGCCGUCGGACACCUCUUCUGCCGCACACAGUCAUCAUCACCGGCAGGUCGCCGCCCUGAACCACCACCCUUCUACGUCGCCGUCAUCAGGUAUGUCUCCGUCUCUUCUUUCUCUCUCUAUCGAUGUUCCGAGACACCCAUCGUCCUUGCUCCUGUGACAACACAAAACCACCCACACACCCAAUUUUACCGAUUUCACCCCUGUCGCUACCCGAACCUUCCGAAUUCUGCAAUUUGUUUAACCUAAACAAGGAUAAAUUAGAAUUACAUCAUAGAAAUAAUGGUUAAAUAUUGGAUAUUGGAUGGUUUGCUAUAUUGGUUUCAAUCUGAAACGAACACGAUUAAGUUCAUUGAAGUAGGCUUGCGUACCACUACUCGUUUAAGGUAUGUAUCCUAUUUCACUUUGUUCAUAUGUGGCGAAUUGAAGCGAAACAGGUCCAAAUUUUUCCGGACAUGUUUGAAUACAGUUAUUUGUAUUUAUAUGUAUGUUUAUGUUUGCAUAAAAGAAUUGAUUUUUAUAUUUAUAGUUAUACAACGUCCUGUUUUCUCAAUCUGUGUUGAAUCAUGAUGAUGUGUUUGUCUUGGACACUAAAGAUAAGAUCUUUCAAUUUAACGGAGCAAAUUCAAAUAUUCAAGAAAUGGCUAAGGCUUUGGAAGUUAUACAGUUCUUGAAGGAUAAAUAUCAUGAGGGGACAUGCAAUGUUGGGGACGAUAGAAAACUACAAGCCGAGGGAGAUUCGAGUGAAUUUUGGGUUAUUUUUGGCGGGUUUGCUCCUAUUGGCAAAAGGGUUCUAAGUGAUGAUGAUGUCAUCCCCGAAAGGACGCCUGGCAACCUUUAUAGGGUGGAUUAAGCUCCACUUAUAAAAGCUACAUUGCGGAAAAAGGAUUAACCGACGAAAGUGGGGAAGCGACAACCUUUCCAAUUUACAGUGUUCAGCAUAUUUCAGUUCUCAAGUCAAGACAAAUCAACCAACCACUCACCAAGCCAGUCAAGGUGAUUCAACUCCUGCUGCAACCCAUCAACCUAUAAAUUUACAAGACCCAAAUGUGAUUGUCACAAUUUUCAUCAAUCAUGGAUCGUUUUUUGGGUUUGUUAACCACAAUAUUCCUAGCGAUUACGGUUUUCACUGUGUCGGGUCAGAUUAGCACUCCAUGCACGGUGUCAAUGAUUGCUAGCUUCACCUCGUGUGUGAAUUACAUCACGGGGAGUAGCGCAAACAGGGGAUCACCAACCGCAAAUUAUUGUAAAGGGGUUGAAUCCCUUAUGACUACGAGCAUGGACUGCACAUGUGUUAUCGUUACUGGAAACGUUCCGUUUUCACUACCGAGCCCAAUUAACCAACCGUUGGCUAUUACACUCCCUAAAGCGUGCAACUCGAAAAGCGUACCGUUCCAAUGCAAAUCUACCAGUGUUCCUCUGCCUCCUGCAGGUCCUGCAUUAUUCGUUCCUCCGCCGCCGCCCAAAGUUCUUCCACCUGCCGCUGAUUCUCCAGACCUGCCACCAAGCCCUAGCGGUUCCGUGGCAGCAACACCAACGCCAUCUGAAAAGAGCCAAGACGACUUGCAUGAGCCAGACCCACGUGAGUCCAAACCGGUGGCUCCUGAUGCAUUAGCACCAACUCCAACUGCUCCCCAAGGUCCACCGGUUGGUUCAGGCAUCAGACCAGUGCUUACACCAGCAGCAUCAACUUCAAACCAGUUGCAUUGUUCACCGCCAAUUGUGUUGCUACUUGAUAAUACAAUGGGUGGGGAGCAGAAUUUUAACAACAUUUUUUUUGUACAUAUUAAAUACAACCCAGCUUGGCUGCUUCUUGAAUAAAUGGGUUGAAAUUGGCCCAUCAAAUGCCAACAUUCUUCAUAACUUGUUACAUGAGUCAUGUAUCAUGCUCGUGCUAAUUGUUGUUAGAAGUGAGGAUGUACUCGACUCUAUGUGAACUCAGGAAGAUAAAAAGAUUAAAAGUUUGAGAAAUCGAAGAAGGCAGGUCGAAAGCCACCUGUUGAAGCCUUACAAAGGAUUAAAGAAGGCAUGUUCUUUUUGGCAUCUUUUUUUAUAUGUUUGGAUUCCUCUGUUAGAAAAUUGUGUGUACUAAACGGGCCUAGAUCGACUGUUUGAUGCUUAAUGGGUUGGUUAAAUGAAACCGGAUAUUUCUGGGUGAUGCUUGAUGAGUACAACUGGUCAUUUGGGUCGGGUCGGGUAUACGAUGCUAGAUCUUUCAAGUUGAUGCUUGAUGUGUAAAACUGGUCAUCUGGGGCGGUUCGGGUUCAUUAUAUGACGCUGGAUCUUUUCGGUUAGAUUUAUUAUUCUUCCGAAUUGAUUAGUUGCUCUUGAAUAUCAAAUUUGAUGUUUUAUUAUUUCA